CGAUACGCUCGCCCCAUUACCAGAACCAUUCGCAAAACCUUUACUAACAACCAACUGCGUUCUUAUACUCUUCGUAGACUGAGGCUCCAACCUCAAAGGACUACGAUCCCUUUUCUUCCCACAAUCCACACACCUACCUUAAACUAACUCUCUAUUCCUCUCUAAACUAGCUUUGAAGACUUUCUCUAACACCUCUCUCACC
This 202-nucleotide long non-coding RNA is filed under the name Gossypium barbadense (sea-island cotton). RNAcentral's name for it is "long non-coding RNA (GBAR_LNC018001)". Lineage: Eukaryota; Viridiplantae; Streptophyta; Magnoliopsida; Malvales; Malvaceae. The record is from RNAcentral.